UACGAGGGGAGCAAGCGUUGUUCGGAUUUACUGGGCGUAAAGGGCGCGUAGGCGGUCGUGACAAGUCACUUGUGAAAUCUCCGGGCUUAACUCGGAACGGCCAAGUGAUACUGUCGGACUAGAGUACAGAAGGGGCAACUGGAAUUCUCGGUGUAGCGGUGAAAUGCGUAGAUAUCGAGAGGAACACCUGCGGCGAAGGCGGGUUGCUGGGCUGAUACUGACGCUGAUGCGCGAAAGCCAGGGGAGCGAACGGG
Molecule: ribosomal RNA, 254 nt
Filed under: uncultured bacterium
Lineage: Bacteria
Description: partial 16S ribosomal RNA
Rfam family: Bacterial small subunit ribosomal RNA
Source: RNAcentral